This 476-nucleotide ribosomal RNA is filed under the name uncultured beta proteobacterium. RNAcentral's name for it is "bacterial SSU rRNA". The record is from RNAcentral. Lineage: Bacteria; Pseudomonadati; Pseudomonadota; Betaproteobacteria.
GAGUUUGAUCAUGGCUCAGAUUGAACGCUGGCGGCAUGCCUUACACAUGCAAGUCGAACGGCAGCAUGAUCUAGCUUGCUAGAUUGAUGGCGAGUGGCGAACGGGUGAGUAAUACAUCGGAACGUGCCCUGUAGUGGGGGAUAACUAGUCGAAAGAUUAGCUAAUACCGCAUACGACCUGAGGGUGAAAGUGGGGGACCGCAAGGCCUCAUGCUAUAGGAGCGGCCGAUGUYUGAUUAGCUAGUUGGUGGGGUAAAGGCCCACCAAGGCGACGAUCAGUAGCUGGUYUGAGAGGACGAUCAGCCACACUGGGACUGAGACACGGCCCAGACUCCUACGGGAGGCAGCAGUGGGGAAUUUUGGACAAUGGGCGAAAGCCUGAUCCAGCAAUGCCGCGUGUGUGAAGAAGGCCUUCGGGUUGUAAAGCACUUUUGUCCGGAAAGAAAUGGCUCUGGUUAAUACCUGGGGUCGAUGACG